AGGUCGAACCUUUGGAGUUCAAUAAAGAACUUUACAGUGCAAAUAUGAACUUCUAACUAUCAAAAAGGUUCAAAGUUGAACUUACAGGUAAACUGGUUAUUUGGAAGUUCAUAUUAGAACCUGUGUGUAGUUAAGGUUCAUUUAUGAACCUUUUCUAAUAUGAUUGGAUUCUAUGGAGUUGAUACAGUGUUUCAUCUGUACCCCCCGACCUCCCCGCACAUUUCUAUAAAUUGCAUCUUAACAUUGAAAGACACCAUGUUUUUUGUCCAUUUUUAAAGCAUAAACUAAGAAGACCAAGAAUAAAAAUUCAGUUUUACAUUCAUAAAUGGACAAGAAGCUGUUCAAUGUCAAAUGGAGAGGUGACGUGAAAUUCUUAGCCCUAAAAAUAGACUGUGUUCAAUAUCUUCCGCUUAGACAACCGUAUAAAUAUUCCCCAAUUGAAAAGGACACUAUGCAGUUUUGGAGCAAAAAUCACGAGUAAGGUGUGAUGCACAGGCACUUUAUUUUACGUGUUUUAUCUCUCCUUCUGUUCCAACUUUAUCUACUUUGUUAUUAGCUCAUGUUUUAGAAAACAUUUCAUAAUUGUAUUGUGUAAGGUUUCAUCAGGAAGAUUAUUUUUUCUUUAUUUAGUUUAUUAUUAUUAUCAUUACUAGCCUACUACUACUACUACAACUAUUGCUUUUACUACAGCUGUUGUUAAUCAUUUAUGUGCUGAGAUUGCUUGUGCCUAAACGUUUUUACAAAAUAAGAAUACUGACAAAUAACUAGCAAUUCAAAAGUACAUUAUUUUCACAAAAGUAAACGAGAUUAUUAAUAUUGUUUCGUUUUUAAGCAUGAAUAAGCAAAUCCUUCAAAAUGCUUUAAAUGUUUUCUAUAUCUGGGCUUUGGUACGCAAAGCAAUACACUGAAGUCUCUCUCGCGCAAUGAUGUCAGUGGUCACGUGGAAAAAACCGUUACAAAUUUUGAAGCGGCAGCAGCGGGACCCAGUGGGACUGAGCGGAACGACACAAAAAUCUGAGGUAAGACAACAUAACGUCUCAAAUAAACUAUUAACUUUUUGAAAAAGCUAUGAAACACCUAUUUAAUGUCAUAAUAACUUUAAGGUGUGUGAUAAUGAAUAAAUGACGACGGGCCUAAGCAGACACGUCGUGUUAAUGCGGCCACAAUAUUGUCAAUUUAACGGCCUGGAGAAAUAAUUCCGGGUGUACCACUUACUACACCUUUUCCACAUGUACUAUUUCAAGAUAUUUUCCCGUUUUUUAUCCUUACUGUGUGUGCGCGUGUGUUUGCUCGCGCGCCCGAGAGAGAGAGAGAGAGAGAGAAUUUAGUAAAAAUGAAAAGUUUGUUUUUAUUCAUAUUUUAUAACGCAUUGUUUUCUAAAUUGCAAUAUUUCUCUGCAUAUAGAGGCACGAAUGAGCUCAGAGCUGAUUCACUGGAAAAUCCAUGUGGCUGACUGGUUGAUGGCAACAGUUUCCAGAUGGACAAUCUGUCUUACCAAGAUGUGUAUCAAAAGAGGUCAAGGGCAGUUGGGGUAAGUGUCCCAGACAGAAUCAACUUAAGUUUUUUAAGAAUAGCAGACAUGUUUUUGUGGGUAGAUUUAUUCAGGAGAAGAUGAUUAACGCAUUGGGAUCCACUUGGAUGAAAUGAAAACCAAAUGCUUGGAGAUCACCAAAUCCUUUUAGAGGACUAAAUGACACAGACAAAGAGUGAGAGGACAGACUAUAUAAAACAUCACUCCACAAAGGAAAUAUUAUCAUGAUAUCCAGCCCUUAAUGUCCCCUCAGUUGAACCACGUACACCCAACCCUGUGCUGCAUAUACUGUAAAUGGAUGUGCCUUGGAUGCAGUCUGUUUUAGAAAUAAUGAUGCAAGGGGAGAAGGUCUGUGAAGUAGACGAUAUGACCAGGUCACCACAAUGUACUUCAUCUUCAACCUUGAAUAUGCUUCAAAGCCGAGAAACACUCUAACAUUCUUUGAAAAAUAAAAAUGUCCUGUUUAAUGUCCUGUUUAAACAUUAUCUUAAAAAUUAUAUAUAAAUUAAAAAUUAAAUGAUUAAAAAUAAUAUAAAAAUGAUAGAUAUUCAGCUACAUUCUGUUAAAGGUUGAUGGAAAUUUAUAGAUUAAUGAAUGAAAUGAUUUAUUUAUUUGAUUGUUUAUUUAUUUAUUUGAAUGAUAAAAAACAAUAUUCCUUUUUUCUCUGUCCAUUGGUGCCUGUGCUCAUUAUAUUUAUGUAUUAAACAUUUUAUAGACAAUCAUUGUGUUCUGUAUUCAAUGUUUUGAAAUGGGAUUAAGAUAUAGUUAUAUAAGUUAUAUAUAAGACAUAUAGUUAAUGUAUAAUUUAUAUUAUAUUUUAAUAAUUAUUAUUAAUAUAUGUUAUUGCUAUCUAAAAGGAAAAGGUUCAAAAUGGAACCUUAAUGAGGCUUUAAUGCACCUUUAAGUGAAGGUUCCAAUUAGAACCUUUUUAAAAAGGUUCAAAAAUGAACCUUUAAGGUUCCCCCACAGUUGCAAUCGCCAGGAACCUUAAAAGGUUCAUUUUUGAACCUUUUCUUCUUAGAG
Long non-coding RNA from Megalobrama amblycephala (Wuchang bream), 2554 nucleotides. RefSeq lists it as uncharacterized. The transcript has 3 exons. Lineage: Eukaryota; Metazoa; Chordata; Actinopteri; Cypriniformes; Xenocyprididae. The record is from RefSeq and is a predicted model, not a curated record.